Molecule: ribosomal RNA, 245 nt
Filed under: uncultured Sulfurospirillum sp.
Lineage: Bacteria; Pseudomonadati; Campylobacterota; Epsilonproteobacteria; Campylobacterales; Sulfurospirillaceae
Description: partial 16S ribosomal RNA
Rfam family: Bacterial small subunit ribosomal RNA
Source: RNAcentral
UACGGAGGGUGCAAGCGUUACUCGGAAUCACUGGGCGUAAAGGGUGCGUAGGCGGGUUGUCAAGUUCUGAGUGAAAUCCAACGGCUCAACCGUUGAACUGCUUGGAAAACUGGCAGCCUAGAGUGAGGGAGAGGCAGAUGGAAUUGGUGGUGUAGGGGUAAAAUCCGUAGAGAUCACCAGGAAUACCCAUUGCGAAGGCGAUCUGCUGGAACUCAACUGACGCUGAGGCACGAAAGCGGGGGGAG